GACGAACGCUGGCGGCGUGCCUAAUACAUGCAAGUCGAGCGAACAGAUGAGGAGCUUGCUCCUCUGACGUUAGCGGCGGACGGGUGAGUAACACGUGGAUAACCUACCUAUAAGACUGGGAUAACUUCGGGAAACCGGAGCUAAUACCGGAUAAUAUAUUGAACCGCAUGGUUCAAUAGUGAAAGACGGUUUUGCUGUCACUUAUAGAUGGAUCCGCGCCGCAUUAGCUAGUUGGUAAGGUAACGGCUUACCGAGGCAACGAUGCGUAGCCGACCUGAGAGGGUGAUCGGCCACACUGGAACUGAGACACGGUCCAGACUCCUACGGGAGGCAGCAGUAGGGAAUCUUCCGCAAUGGGCGAAAGCCUGACGGAGCAACGCCGCGUGAGUGAUGAAGGUCUUCGGAUCGUAAAACUCUGUUAUUAGGGAAGAACAAAUGUGUAAGUAACUAUGCACGUCUUGACGGUACCUAAUCAGAAAGCCACGGCUAACUACGUG
Molecule: ribosomal RNA, 497 nt
Filed under: uncultured bacterium
Lineage: Bacteria
Description: partial 16S ribosomal RNA
Rfam family: Bacterial small subunit ribosomal RNA
Source: RNAcentral